RNAcentral lists this ribosomal RNA (440 nucleotides) under uncultured bacterium. Its description in RNAcentral is "partial 16S ribosomal RNA". It matches the Rfam family "Bacterial small subunit ribosomal RNA", at positions 338 to 795 of the family's 1533-position model. The record is from RNAcentral.
CCUACGGGAGGCAGCAGUAGGGAAUAUUGCUCAAUGGGGGAAACCCUGAAGCAGCAACGCCGCGUGGAGGAUGAAGGUUUUCGGAUUUUAAACUCCUUUUUUUAGAGAAGAUAAUGACGGUAUCUAACGAAUAAGCACCGGCUAACUCCGUGCCAGCAGCCGCGGUAAUACGGAGGCUGCCAGCGUUACUCGGAAUCACUGGGCGUAAAGAGCGCGUAGGCGGGAUAGCAAGUCAGAUGUGAAAUCCUAUGGCUUAACCAUAGAAUUGCAUUUGAAACUGUUAUUCUAGAGUAUGGGAGAGGUAGGUGGAAUUCGUGGUGUAGGGGUAAAAUCCGUAGAGAUCAAGAGGAAUACUCAUUGCGAAGGCGACCUGCUAGAACAUAACUGACGCUGAUGCGCGAAAGCGUGGGGAGCAAACAGGAUUAGAUACCCGAGUAGUC